This is a long non-coding RNA of Melozone crissalis (California towhee), 4356 nucleotides long. RefSeq lists it as uncharacterized. The transcript has 3 exons. The record is from RefSeq and is a predicted model, not a curated record. NCBI's taxonomy places the organism in Eukaryota, Metazoa, Chordata, Aves, Passeriformes, Passerellidae.
CUUGUAUAUUGCCCCUUGCAUACUGCCCCUUGUCCAUUACCAUAUGCCCUUGUGACAAAUCUCUUUCCAGCUUUCUCAUGUAUGCCAAAAACCAGCUAGCAAGAGAAGAGAGAGAAUAUCUAUUCUUUAUUUUUAUUUCGUCUAAAUUUAAAUGGUAAAACUUCCUACUUUAGCUAGGACUGGCUAAAGCAGUUUGUUUUUAUUUAGAGCAGCCUAAGCCACCUGGUUUGUAGAUGGUAAAUUCCUGUGUCUUUUGCUGAAUGCUUGUUAAAACAAAGAAUAAGGGAGAUGGGCACCAUCUGCACAGAGCAGGGUAGCAGCGAAGGAGACAUCAGGAUGAUGAGUGAACUGCGGUGUCUUGCUUUCCCUGCAGAUUGAAGAUAGGCAGGCCGAGAUGAGCAGGAGGAAUGUGCCUCAGAGGUAAAGAUGAGGAACAUGCUCUUGGAAAGAGGGUGACUGCACCUGAAGGCACUGCUCAGAAGAGGAAGGUGUAUGCUAAUGAGCGAGUCUGAGGAAUGAUCUCCAUGUGCUGCUGCCUCCAGAUGUGGCGUGGCAGCAGGGCUGGGCUGCCUCAGCUGCUUGCUGACAACUCAAAGAAGAAAGCCCUGACUGUCCCUGCUUCCCUUCUUCACCCUCUCACUUCUAGUGAUGGGCUCUGGCCACAGGGCCAGCUGUCAAGCCCCUCCAUACCUGGCUCUGCAGAAGAACAACGUGGUAUGGUACAGCUUUAAUGGUGUCAUGAGUGUCAGAGCUGGCAGCACAAGGUGCCUGUGCUUUUGACUUCCUUUUCACUGCAGGUACAACAAACCUGGCUCUAUGCUGUUUUUCCGAUGUCUCUCUAUCCCCAGUGCCUCCUUUCACAGAGAGCAUUGCUCCUGUACUUUGCUUUUCCAUAACAGAUGAUGCCUGGUUUUGGGCUUGUUCUGGCUUUUCCGUUGCGUUUCUGUGCCAAAAUAUUUUUUCUUCCUUUAAGAGGCUUUCAGCUAAACCUGUAAAUUGGGCUUUGCAGCAAAAUUCUUAUUGUGCUUUAGGGCAAUUUUUGGUGGACUGAAGAGAAUCAUGGAAGAAUAGUCAGAUGCACAUGCUGGCUCAGCAGCUUCACCUGUUGUUGAUGGAAGAAAUGAGUUAAGGGCAGAACGUGCAGUUAAUGGUGCAAGUCUGAGAUUACAGCUUGGUUGUUGCAAGUGGACAAAAAGAAUUGUAUUUCAGCACAUAAUAGUAUUUUAUUUUAGAACUAUCACAGUAUCAUAAAUAGUUUGCUAACAUACACAAACACCUUAGUGCUUAGCUUUCAGUGGCUAACCAUGUGUCAACAAAAGCUUUAGAAAUAAAUUUAAUGAAUAGCCUUGUGCUGAGAGAAUGAAUCUUCACAAUUGUUUGGAAACAGUGUUUUGGAGACUUGAGGACAUUCUUUUUCAAAAACUAAUGUUUCAAACAUAAAACAAUCAAGCAACUUGAAUGUAUCUAAUCAGAUGAAGUUUGAAGAAGUUCGGGCCAAAGCUGAAUUGGGUCUGAUGUAUCAACACAUGGUGAAAAGUGCACAAAAUGAGAUUUCUGCAGCACAUGUUUCUGUUGAGCACUGUUGGACAGCUACACAUGCUGGAUGCAGCACCUUUGUGCAGGCUGUGGCUGCUGCCAGCCUGUGGUAUCCUGCAUGAGCAGGAAUGAGUGAGUAGAUCAGAUAGGCAGUAAUAACAUGAGUUUUGGUUAGGCUUGUUAUUAAUCACUGGCUGCGUUGUUUGUUGCUGUAAUUGGGAUUCUGACCAAAGCAGAAAAUUGCAGUUGCUUUAACAGAUUAGAUUCUGCAUUUAAUUUGGCAUGUGGUCUCUUUAAACAUGAAGCUAGGCAUUAAGAUAUGUGUGAAUAGGGAAGAGAGUGCUGCCUUUCAAAGAGCACACUCUGUCUUGGAACCUCACAGCAAAUGCUCUCCUUUGAAUUUCUUCACUUACAUUGCUCUGUGCAUUUCUUUGAAAACUCGAGUAUGUGUACAAACAAAUGAAGCAAAAUCUUCGGAAUUCAUUUUAUUGGGCUAAAGCUGGUCUAUGAAAGCUUGACUUCUAACAUGACAAAAGAUGAUGGAGCUGGUGCAAAGCUCAUUGCAGCAAUGAGGAGAAGAUCUUGUUCCCUUCUUUUUCCCAAUCCUCCUCCUGGCCAUGUGCUUCCACUCCUUCCAAGGUGCCACCACUGCACGUGUGUUGCCUCAAAUCACCCAGACCUGAGAAAGCUGUCUAUGUUUUCACUGGAUGAUUUAUGAAAGGAUCCAGUAAGGACCAGAACAGGUAUAAGGUAAGUGGGAGAAAUGUGCAAUGACAUUGCACACAGGAAAACCAAAAAAACCUAAAUAAAACCUUUGAUCUUGAACAAACUCAUAUUUUUAAUAGAGUGUUUUAUUUUAACUCUUACUAGAAGAUAUUUUCCUUUGUAUGAUAUCAAUGCUGGGUGUUUAAUGUGAAAUGUUGGAUGUUUAUGUAUUCAAUACUUGCUGAUCUUUAGAGAAAUUAAACUGAAGCUUGAGCCCUGCUGAGCAAUCAGAGGCGUUUCUUGUUUCUUAAAUGAAGUAGGCACUGCUUCAGAAAUUAAAAUUUCAAAACUUAUGUUUAACUGCACCAGUUUCUAGAUUGAAAUAUUUUUUCAGGUGCUUUGAAGCCUGUCUGCUCCCUUUAGAGUGUGGGGCUCCCAGAAUGGGAUGCAUGCCUGCAUCUGAUGGCCUUUACUGCUUCAGUGCUUCAGUAGUCUGGGUGCUAUGGAAAAGCACCUAGUGUUACCAACUAUAGCAUGCCAGAAAGUGUUACCUACUCCAUUUAAAAGAAAUCAAAAGGGUUGUCAGAGGUUUUUUCAUUUUUUAAUCAUAGGCUAAAUUAGUAUUUUCUCUUUUGCCAUGAUUGAUUUAUAUAAAUGGAGUGAAAGAUGGAAUUGUUGUCCCAAGACACUUAAUGAGAAUGAAGCAUCUAUCCCAUCAGCUGUAUUUCAAAUAUCAGUUCAGUUAUCUGGUUCAAAAGCUUCAUUGGAUGUUCAAAUAUAGGAGAUUUGGGUAGUCUGUGGGGAGCUCAGCUCCUCUUGUAUGGUUGGAAGAAAAAACACAGCUCUGAAUUUUUUUCCAGAGGGUAAAUCAAAAGUGGUUUAAUGUAAUGAAAUUCACUGUGCUCCAUAUUUGCUCUGUCUAGCUGCCCUCCUGCCUCUCUGAGGAAUUCCACACACACUGCAUCAUGUGUGCCUCCACUUCAGAUUGAAAUUGCCAUUACUACAUGAGGAACUCCUGCUUCCAGCCUUGCUUUUGUUCUGCUCCUCACUGGGGGGAUCUCACUUACUUCACUACCCCUAGGAAAGGGGUAUUUUUUGGUCAUACCAUCGUGUUAAAUCUGCUCACCAGAGGCCUGACAAAAGUCAUGGAAGAUGGAAGGGUUAACACUUUGUUAAGUCUUGAAGAGUUCAUCUUCAGAGUUCAUGAACCUCAGAUGCUCAGCUAAACUGGAGCAGUGGAGCAGGAAGAUUUUGUCCAGAGCAGAAACUGCCAGUGUUAAAGAAAACAAACCAUAACCCUUUUUCUCUACCAAUAAGUUCUCUGUGGCACGAGGAAUCAUCUAAGAACCAUCUAAAAUGGUUUGGGUUGGAAGGGAACUUCAAAGGUAAUCCAAUUCCAACCCCCUGCCAUGGGCAGGAACAUCUUCAUGGAUGGAGCCCCAUCUAACCUGGGAUGGAUCCUAAACUUCUCUGGGCAACCUGUGCCAAUGUUUCACCAUCCUCCUGGUAAAAAAACCUUUCCUUUUAUGUAGUCUAAAUCCCUUUCAGUUUAAAACCAUUACCACUUAGCCUGUCACAACAGGCCCUGCUAAUAAGUUUGUCUCCAUUUUCCUCUAAAGCCCCCUUUAGGUGCUUUCAGAAGAGUUGUUACCAACUCAAUUUAAAAGAAAUCAAGAGGGUUGUCAGAGGUUUUUUUCAUUUUUUAAUCAUAGGCUAAAUUAGCAUUUUCUCUUUUGCCGUGCUUAGUUUAUAUAAACAUUUAUCUGGAAAUUGUUUUACAAAAUAAUAUAGAGACUAGCAGAGCUUAAAAUAUUGCUACCCAUCACCCAAAAUAUGACAGCACUUGAAAUCAAAGUCAGAAUUAAAUAUAGCCAGUGACAAGUGCAUUCAAAAUGUUCUGACAGACAAGUAGAAGGAAACAUGUUCAUAAGAUUAAGGAAUUGUUUAUACAGUUCAGAAAUGGCUGGAAAUAGUCAAAAAUACCUAAAUAAAGAGCAGGUUAUUUGAGAAGAUCUGCUUAAGAUUUUUGAGAGGAAAACACGUACAAGUUCUUUGUUGUGGAAACGAUAGUGAUAAAUUUGUAGUGACAGGAAUUAAUUGAAAGGUGUUUACAGU